AUGACCGCGACCCCGCGGCAACUGGCAAACCCCUCGGCUCCCGGCGCCGCCACCUCGGUCCCCACCCGAGGCGCACGGCCGCCCGACUCGAGGCUGGCUCAGCUGAAUCCUCUCUGCGGGGCACGAAUGGAGCGCCGGGAGCUCGGGAAGAAGGCGGCGCGCGGACGAGGAACGGACGGAGAGCCUUCGGCUGCCGGGACAGCGCCAAAGGGACGCGGCGACUCGCGCACGUCUCAGGACAUAUCGAGGCUUGGGAAAUCCCCUCCACCCCCGUUCUUAAGAGGGGAGUACACCCAGAAAGUGCAUGUGAUGGAGUGGAGAGGAAUCCGCGCGCGGCGACUACCCGCAGCGCACCCUGCUCCCACUCUCACUCGCGGAGCUGGCCACGGCAGUCGCGGAUCCCUGGCAGGGAGGCUGAGUUCGCUGGGCCGAGCGCGUGAGGGUGGUCGGAAACAAGGCAGGAGGCGGCUUGGGAAAAAGUGGAGCAGAAAUGGAAAAAUACAAACUCACCCGCAGCAAAUGGUCUCUCGGUGCAAACUAAGGUGUUUUCGGGCCUUUCCCCGAGCGCGCCCACUCCCGCCCGCGCGCGCACCCCCGCAAACACACUCACUUGGUCACACACGCGCGCGCGCUCACAUAUACACACACACACACACAGACACACACGCACACACACACGCACUCCCGGGCGAGGGCCGGGCCGCGCGAGUACAGCAUGAAACCGCCACACAAUAAAUAACAAUAGAUUCCUCCGCUCCGGACUAGCUUCCCGGAGCCCAGCUAGCGCCAGUGGUGGCGGCGGCCGCAGAGGCGCGGACGGCGUCGGGCCCGGGGCUUUCCCCAGCCUGCUCCCACCCCUGGCAUCCAGCCUGGGCCCCUUCUCCACCUCACGCGCCCACAAACCACCCCCGGGCUUGAGCCUGCUCACCCUCCUUCCCCAAGACACUUAGGUGCUGGUGCCCGCCCCCACCCCCACCCCCGGAACAAAUAAAUAAAUAAGGCGCGCGCGAGGCCAACACGUCGCGGAGG
This 1029-nucleotide long non-coding RNA is filed under the name Bos indicus x Bos taurus (hybrid cattle). Its description in RNAcentral is "lncRNA (ENSBIXG00005031337.1)". Lineage: Eukaryota; Metazoa; Chordata; Mammalia; Artiodactyla; Bovidae. The record is from RNAcentral.